AUUGAACGCUGGCGGCAGGCCUAACACAUGCAAGUCGAGCGGAUGAAGGGAGCUUGCUCCUGGAUUCAGCGGCGGACGGGUGAGUAAUGCCUAGGAAUCUGCCUGGUAGUGGGGGAUAACGUCCGGAAACGGGCGCUAAUACCGCAUACGUCCUGAGGGAGAAAGUGGGGGAUCUUCGGACCUCACGCUAUCUGAUGAGCCUAGGUCGGAUUAGCUAGUUGGUGGGGUAAAGGCCUACCAAGGCGACGAUCCGUAACUGGUCUGAGAGGAUGAUCAGUCACACUGGAACUGAGACACGGUCCAGACUCCUACGGGCGGCAGCAGUGGGGAAUAUUGGACAAUGGGCGAAAGCCUGAUCCAGCCAUGCCGCGUGUGUGAAGAAGGUCUUCGGAUUGUAAAGCACUUUAAGUUGGGAGGAAGGGCAGUAAGUUAAUACCUUGCUGUUUUGACGUUACCAACAGAAUAAGCACCGGCUAACUUCGUG
This 484-nucleotide ribosomal RNA is filed under the name uncultured bacterium. RNAcentral describes it as "partial 16S ribosomal RNA". It matches the Rfam family "Bacterial small subunit ribosomal RNA", at positions 30 to 507 of the family's 1533-position model. The record is from RNAcentral.